Molecule: unclassified non-coding RNA, 283 nt
Filed under: fungal sp.
Lineage: Eukaryota; Fungi
Also listed under: 1 other name
Description: partial internal transcribed spacer region
Rfam family: Eukaryotic small subunit ribosomal RNA (bases 1-46)
Source: RNAcentral
AAGUCGUAACAAGGUUUCCGUAGGUGAACCUGCGGAAGGAUCAUUAACAAAUCAAUUGUGCUACGAUGGGGGAAACCCGGUCGUAUGCAUAUAAACCCGAACCCGUGCAGCAAUGCCGGGCUAGGUGUGUGCACUAAUCACAGCAAUGUGGAUAUAUUAGUGUGCACGGCCGAGAGUAAGUGCGCAAGUGCUUACCCAAAGCCAAAUAGACGCUUGUAUGUUUUGACAGAUCUAGUUGACAACACAAAAUUGACAACUUUUAACAAUGGAUCUCUUGGCUCUU